CCUGACAAAACGAUGAUGCUUCCCCCCUGCAUGAUUGCAUCAUUCAUUCAUGCUGCUGUUAUAAAACAGGCACCACGCCGUUGCUGCUGCUUGCAGGGCAGCACAGUCACAGCCCCAGCAGAAGAUACUCUUCAUUUUCUAUGCUAGAGAAACAUGAAGUUCUCAGCACACGAGCAUCAUUAGUAACUUGUUGUCCCAGGAAAAGCUGGUACCAAGCCCCUUUGCUGCAAAACUGGUGACGUGGUUCACCGUUCAGCCUGGCCCCGUUUGUUAGUUUUAUCAUGACAGGACGGCAUGUGGUCCAGGAAAGAAACACAGGGAGUUCUGCCUGGAAACUUCCCAAGGAUGUUGAGGAGUGAAAAGCAAAGCCCACGUGGACGUGUGACUAUCGGCACAAGCACAGCAGCUGUAUUAAUAAUUCCCCUCACCUGAAGCUGCUUGGGGAACAGCCACAUCACAUCAUGCGUGUUGAGGACGGAUAAUUCCUGCAUUUCCACAGAACAUCACCUACGAGGGUCACAGAACAGCAGCGAGGAAAACUUAAUGAAAUAAAUCAUGCCCGCUGGUAUGUAUAUGGGUUUGACAAGGCUGCCCUCUGCUGAGAACAGCUCCAGGCCAGGAUCGAGGCAAAAAAAACACAAACCAGAGAAGCAAGAAUAGCAAAAUAAUUGUGAGUGACCUGUUGGCUGCAGAACGCGGGGCAGAGCUGGGCAUUCGGGUGUUUUAACUGGGCUUUGCAUGUAGGCACCUCAAAUAUCAGCACUGCAGCCUCUCAGGGCUGGGUUGGCGUGUUUGGGUUUGUUAUGUCCUCAGCAGACCGGCAGCAUCUCAACAAAAGUGAAAAUAUUAACAGGAGAGUCCCAGGGCCAAUUAUGAAAUGUCAAGUGUAAUUUCCUGCCUUUUGCAAUGUUUGAUGUUUAUUUCUAAUUAUGACAGUAACAGAACAGAAAGCCCAGCCAUUGUACUAAAAUAUUUCACAGGACAUAUGCGCUGCUACGCUAAACAAAAGAGCUCCAAACUUGUGCUGUAUUACACUCAAACACUAACUCCAUCUAAAACAUUUAAAAGCCAGAAAGCCAAGCAUAUUAGCAGUUGUCCCCUCCAGUCCUGCCAUGUGAGAUGGACAGGCCGUGCAUGGCCGUCCUGCACAGCGUGGCGUUUUGCCCAGAAACCUGAGAUCCUCACCCAAAGCAGCAGAACAGAUUCCCAGCAGGUGCCACAGCCAAGUGCCAAAACCGCACGGCCCUGGGAGAGCUGGUCCCUCCGGCUGUGAGCCCCGCCGGCAGCUU
This 1289-nucleotide long non-coding RNA is filed under the name Columba livia (rock pigeon). RNAcentral's name for it is "partial uncharacterized LOC106145675". Lineage: Eukaryota; Metazoa; Chordata; Aves; Columbiformes; Columbidae. The record is from RNAcentral.